AAAGAGAGCAGGGAAUGGAAGCUGCUUGUGUUUUGGGGAAAGUCACACAUCCCUUCCCCUCCCGUUCCUGUUUCAUCAGAAGCAAUGGUGGGAGCCUGGCGCCAACCUGGGAUGCCUGUACUGCUGGUCAUGAAAGGAACAGGGGAGGGGUAGGGAAGGGCAGUUGUGGGAUCACAGCCCUGUACUUGCCCUUUUUGCUCACUGCAGGAGCUUUGUCUGAUGGGGAGGAUGGCAGCAGUCAGUUAUCCCAUGGCUGGACCAUCUGACAGAUCAGAAAGCCAUUCUGUUAGGUUGGGGAACAAUGACCUCUUUGGGAUAUUCUCAGUUGCUUUUUAGUACCAGUUUAGUUUCCCCACUUGUUAGCCACCACAGGCCUUUCUGAAUUUUAACCCUCUCAUCAUUUUGGAAUUCAUACUAGCUCCCCCACUGCUGCCCCUCCUAAAGGAGGAGGGCACCGGCGGCAGCAACUGUUAUUGGCAAGAGCCAUUUGCCUUUACUUAGCUUGAUUCUGGAUGUCCCACUCUAGCCUGCCCAUUUCUCCUCCUCCAUCAUCCCAGAGGCCUGGCUCUGCCCACGCUGUCAAAGCCUGGCUCAUGAAGCAUCCCGGUGUUAAGGUGAACUGGUUGUAAAUCGUAGAUCAUGGUCACACUAUACACACUGAUUAACAUUAGAUUUUUUUUCUUAAAAACAAAAACAAAAAAAACAAGGCAGCUGGAGGGAGAAGUUAAACACAGAGCUUUGUGGCAUGCUCCACAAUAUAAAAGAAUCCCAAGCAUUCAGUUCAGCUGGCAGCAGCUCUGUUUGACUUUCCAGCAUAGGUCUUCAAACCCAGCCCUGGUUACUUCCCUGCUCCUGGCCUCCCCUAGUGAAUUGGGGCUCUCCUCUUCUUUCUUUGCCUUAUGACUGUUUUCUCAGUGACUGGUUGUUUCCUCUGGGAAGAGACUUCUGUUCAGAGGGAGUGUUUGUGCGUAUUUAUAGCCCACAGCCCUGAUCCUGCAGAGACCUAUGCAGUGGACACCAAUCCUGUCUGCAAGGGGUCUCCAGGAUCAGGCCCUGGGUCUGCAGGCUUGCAUGUGAACAUACAUACAUAGGCAGGAUAGUCUCUUGGAAGGAACAUGAGCCCUGCAUUCUGCUUCUCUUCCUCCUCAUCUAGCUUUAGAACUGGUUAUUCAGAUACAGGGCAAUGUCCCUUUUGGAUAUUGAGCAGUUCUCAGGAAUAACUUAGGGCCGGGUAGUCUGCUCUCAAAUUUUCACACACACAGCCUCCAUUCUGCUUAGGCCUCCUCUUCUCAGGAGUUUAGAACAGAGAUGACCAAAGGGUUUUUUUUACUUAGCUGUUCCUCAACUCCUCAGUCCAUUCUUAUGCAUGGCAGCUCCUUCUCUCCCUCCCCUGGUGUGGCAGGCUGACAAACAAGCAAUGAGACAUGGGAAUACUCCUGUAAUAACCCUGAAGAGAAAUGGACAGGGCAUUAAGCCACCCAGUGAAACCCAUCUUUCAAGCUUCCUUCUGUGACCUCCAGUACCACUCUGUGUCCUCAGGACUCUAUUCCCUCUAACCUAGUCCCAAAUCACUGCUGCCACACUCAAAAGACAUUUCCCCAGCCUUCAGAGCUCCGAGUUGCAUCAGUAUCUCUUCCACGCAGGCUUUUUCUCCAGGGCGGGAGGCUGCAUUGGUAGCUGACAGCUACCAAGGCACCACCAGAGUUCGAAGUGAAUAGUUACUUUCUGUUAUGUAGUUCGGGGUUGGAUGGCAAAUUCCAGCAAUCUCAGGGCACUUUUUGACCAAAGACUUUGCUUCCAUGUUUUCCUCCCACACUUAUCAGGCUUCAGCCCAGAAUGCUUCUCAACAGUCACUUCUUCCCACUUGCUACUGCAAAGGGCAAGUCGAGUACCUUAAAGCUACAUCUAAGAACGUGCCUGACCUGCUUCUUUGGAGACCCAGCAAAUCUUCAAACAGAGCUCCAGCUACUGACACAAUAUCAACUGAAUACUGAACAAUAUCAAAUAUACGGUAUAGGAAAAAACAAAACUGAAAUGCUUAAUGGCAUAUUUAUACAUAUUUAUCAACAGUUGACAAAGAGGUGGCGAGUUACACAUCCAUUCUGUAUGCUAACAACCCUGAUGCACAUAUAUGUAAACACACAUGCUCAGCUGAUGCAUCACAUUUUACAUAUAGCCACAUAUCAGAGGAGGUGAUCCUAAAAAAUGUACAGUGGAGGAGGCACCAUCUGUUCUUCUUUCCAAUGCAUGCAAAAUGGACAUUCAGGGCAAUGUUACUUUAAGGUUGCUUCUACGGUUAAAUUACUUCCUGCCCAACCCCCAAUCAAUCUAGGCUGUGUUGAUAUACGUCUUUUUUUUUUUUUUUUUUUUAGAGCCGUUAUGUGCUUAAACAGGCAAGAAAGGGAAACAAGGAGAAAAAAUAAGCCUCUGGAUUGAUCAGUUUGCCCACUUGUGGGAAUCCCUCAUUCAGUGUGUAGCAAUGGCAGUGGUGAAGGGGUGCGUACAGCCUAGAAAGAACACAGGAUCCUCCUCACCCCAAACCUGAUUUGGAACACUCCUACUUUUGAAAGUUACAAAAGAAACACUUCAGGGAAAUAGAAACAUCCCUUAAAGGGGCAGAGGGAGAAAGCAAGAGGAACCUCAUAUCUUAACUGGGUUGAGAAUAAAAACUUCCUGCUUCUGGCUCCGCCAACAGCUGCAAGAUGCUGCAGUCCCCAACUCAAGUACCCACAAGGGGUAGGGAAAAGUGAAAUAGCUUUGUUUAAAAUAUAUUUAUCUAUACAUAUAGAGCAUCUUUUAGAGAGAGAGAGAGACACACUCACGCACACGUUUUAUUACGUAGGAUUUGAGGCGCACACUAUCCUCUUAUGUACAGGGCAACAGCGAUUCUGUUAGUCCAAUGGAGCGGCAUACAGUUAAAGCCACACACAUUUAGUUGGUAACAUCUAGCUUGGAUUUUAACCUACAC
Long non-coding RNA from Gopherus evgoodei (Goodes thornscrub tortoise), 2968 nucleotides. RefSeq lists it as uncharacterized. The record is from RefSeq and is a predicted model, not a curated record. NCBI's taxonomy places the organism in Eukaryota, Metazoa, Chordata, Testudines, Testudinidae. The transcript is spliced from 2 exons.